GAACGCUGGCGGCGUGCUUAACACAUGCAAGUCGAACGGUGAAGCAGAGCUUGCUCUGUGGAUCAGUGGCGAACGGGUGAGUAACACGUGAGCAAUCUGCCCUUGACUCUGGGAUAAGCGCUGGAAACGGCGUCUAAUACUGGAUACGAGCUGCGAAGGCAUCUUCAGCAGCUGGAAAGAAUUUCGGUCAAGGAUGAGCUCGCGGCCUAUCAGCUUGUUGGUGAGGUAAUGGCUCACCAAGGCGUCGACGGGUAGCCGGCCUGAGAGGGUGACCGGCCACACUGGGACUGAGACACGGCCCAGACUCCUACGGGAGGCAGCAGUGGGGAAUAUUGCACAAUGGGCGAAAGCCUGAUGCAGCAACGCCGCGUGAGGGACGACGGCCUUCGGGUUGUAAACCUCUUUUAGCAGGGAAGAAGCGAAAGUGACGGUACCUGCAGAAAAAGCACCGGCUAACUACGUGCCAGCAGCCGCGGUAAUACGUAGGGUGCAAGCGUUAUCCGGAAUUAUUGGGCGUAAAGAGCUCGUAGGCGGUUUGUCGCGUCUGCUGUGAAAUCUGGGGGCUCAACCCCCAGCCUGCAGUGGGUACGGGCAGACUAGAGUGCGGUAGGGGAGAUUGGAAUUCCUGGUGUAGCGGUGGAAUGCGCAGAUAUCAGGAGGAACACCGAUGGCGAAGGCAGAUCUCUGGGCCGUAACUGACGCUGAGGAGCGAAAGGGUGGGGAGCAAACAGGCUUAGAUACCCUGGUAGUCCACCCCGUAAA
RNAcentral lists this ribosomal RNA (762 nucleotides) under Microbacterium sp. Its description in RNAcentral is "bacterial SSU rRNA". It matches the Rfam family "Bacterial small subunit ribosomal RNA", at positions 31 to 806 of the family's 1533-position model. The record is from RNAcentral. Lineage: Bacteria; Bacillati; Actinomycetota; Actinomycetes; Micrococcales; Microbacteriaceae.